RNAcentral lists this ribosomal RNA (389 nucleotides) under uncultured soil bacterium. Its description in RNAcentral is "bacterial SSU rRNA". It matches the Rfam family "Bacterial small subunit ribosomal RNA", at positions 26 to 404 of the family's 1533-position model. The record is from RNAcentral.
AGAUUGAACGCUGGCGGCAGGCCUAACACAUGCAAGUCGAGCGGUAGAGGAGGUGCUUGCAUCUCUUGAGAGCGGCGGACGGGUGAGUAAUGCCUAGGAAUCUGCCUAGUGGUGGGGGAUAACGUUCGGAAACGGACGCUAAUACCGCAUACGUCCUACGGGAGAAAGCGGGGGACCUUCGGGCCUCGCGCCAUUAGAUGAGCCUAGGUCGGAUUAGCUAGUUGGUGAGGUAAUGGCUCACCAAGGCGACGAUCCGUAACUGGUCUGAGAGGAUGAUCAGUCACACUGGAACUGAGACACGGUCCAGACUCCGUAAGGAGGCAGCAGGUGGGGAAAUAGUUGGACAAAGUGGGGACGAAAAGCCUAGACUCCGAGCCAUAGCCGCGUGU